GUGCUCACUUCGGCAGCACAUAUAAGAAAAUUGAAACGAUACAAAGAUUAGCAUGGCCCCUGUGCAAGGACGACACAAAUUUGUGAAGCAUUCCAUAUUAAU
This is a small nuclear RNA of Suncus etruscus (white-toothed pygmy shrew), 102 nucleotides long. NCBI's taxonomy places the organism in Eukaryota, Metazoa, Chordata, Mammalia, Eulipotyphla, Soricidae. The record is from RefSeq and is a predicted model, not a curated record.